This 2834-nucleotide ribosomal RNA is filed under the name Staphylococcus aureus. RNAcentral describes it as "bacterial LSU rRNA". It matches the Rfam family "Bacterial large subunit ribosomal RNA". The record is from RNAcentral. Lineage: Bacteria; Bacillati; Bacillota; Bacilli; Caryophanales; Staphylococcaceae.
GAUUAAGUUAUUAAGGGCGCACGGUGGAUGCCUUGGCACUAGAAGCCGAUGAAGGACGUUACUAACGACGAUAUGCUUUGGGGAGCUGUAAGUAAGCUUUGAUCCAGAGAUUUCCGAAUGGGGAAACCCAGCAUGAGUUAUGUCAUGUUAUCGAUAUGUGAAUACAUAGCAUAUCAGAAGGCACACCCGGAGAACUGAAACAUCUUAGUACCCGGAGGAAGAGAAAGAAAAUUCGAUUCCCUUAGUAGCGGCGAGCGAAACGGGAAGAGCCCAAACCAACAAGCUUGCUUGUUGGGGUUGUAGGACACUCUAUACGGAGUUACAAAGGACGACAUUAGACGAAUCAUCUGGAAAGAUGAAUCAAAGAAGGUGAUAAUCCUGUAGUCGAAAAUGUUGUCUCUCUUGAGUGGAUCCUGAGUACGACGGAGCACGUGAAAUUCCGUCGGAAUCUGGGAGGACCAUCUCCUAAGGCUAAAUACUCUCUAGUGACCGAUAGUGAACCAGUACCGUGAGGGAAAGGUGAAAAGCACCCCGGAAGGGGAGUGAAAUAGAACCUGAAACCGUGUGCUUACAAGUAGUCAGAGCCCGUUAAUGGGUGAUGGCGUGCCUUUUGUAGAAUGAACCGGCGAGUUACGAUUUGAUGCAAGGUUAAGCAGUAAAUGUGGAGCCGUAGCGAAAGCGAGUCUGAAUAGGGCGUUUAGUAUUUGGUCGUAGACCCGAAACCAGGUGAUCUACCCUUGGUCAGGUUGAAGUUCAGGUAACACUGAAUGGAGGACCGAACCGACUUACGUUGAAAAGUGAGCGGAUGAACUGAGGGUAGCGGAGAAAUUCCAAUCGAACCUGGAGAUAGCUGGUUCUCUCCGAAAUAGCUUUAGGGCUAGCCUCAAGUGAUGAUUAUUGGAGGUAGAGCACUGUUUGGACGAGGGGCCCCUCUCGGGUUACCGAAUUCAGACAAACUCCGAAUGCCAAUUAAUUUAACUUGGGAGUCAGAACAUGGGUGAUAAGGUCCGUGUUCGAAAGGGAAACAGCCCAGACCACCAGCUAAGGUCCCAAAAUAUAUGUUAAGUGGAAAAGGAUGUGGCGUUGCCCAGACAACUAGGAUGUUGGCUUAGAAGCAGCCAUCAUUUAAAGAGUGCGUAAUAGCUCACUAGUCGAGUGACACUGCGCCGAAAAUGUACCGGGGCUAAACAUAUUACCGAAGCUGUGGAUUGUCCUUUGGACAAUGGUAGGAGAGCGUUCUAAGGGCGUUGAAGCAUGAUCGUAAGGACAUGUGGAGCGCUUAGAAGUGAGAAUGCCGGUGUGAGUAGCGAAAGACGGGUGAGAAUCCCGUCCACCGAUUGACUAAGGUUUCCAGAGGAAGGCUCGUCCGCUCUGGGUUAGUCGGGUCCUAAGCUGAGGCCGACAGGCGUAGGCGAUGGAUAACAGGUUGAUAUUCCUGUACCACCUAUAAUCGUUUUAAUCGAUGGGGGGACGCAGUAGGAUAGGCGAAGCGUGCGAUUGGAUUGCACGUCUAAGCAGUAAGGCUGAGUAUUAGGCAAAUCCGGUACUCGUUAAGGCUGAGCUGUGAUGGGGAGAAGACAUUGUGUCUUCGAGUCGUUGAUUUCACACUGCCGAGAAAAGCCUCUAGAUAGAAAAUAGGUGCCCGUACCGCAAACCGACACAGGUAGUCAAGAUGAGAAUUCUAAGGUGAGCGAGCGAACUCUCGUUAAGGAACUCGGCAAAAUGACCCCGUAACUUCGGGAGAAGGGGUGCUCUUUAGGGUUAACGCCCAGAAGAGCCGCAGUGAAUAGGCCCAAGCGACUGUUUAUCAAAAACACAGGUCUCUGCUAAACCGUAAGGUGAUGUAUAGGGGCUGACGCCUGCCCGGUGCUGGAAGGUUAAGAGGAGUGGUUAGCUUCUGCGAAGCUACGAAUCGAAGCCCCAGUAAACGGCGGCCGUAACUAUAACGGUCCUAAGGUAGCGAAAUUCCUUGUCGGGUAAGUUCCGACCCGCACGAAAGGCGUAACGAUUUGGGCACUGUCUCAACGAGAGACUCGGUGAAAUCAUAGUACCUGUGAAGAUGCAGGUUACCCGCGACAGGACGGAAAGACCCCGUGGAGCUUUACUGUAGCCUGAUAUUGAAAUUCGGCACAGCUUGUACAGGAUAGGUAGGAGCCUUUGAAACGUGAGCGCUAGCUUACGUGGAGGCGCUGGUGGGAUACUACCCUAGCUGUGUUGGCUUUCUAACCCGCACCACUUAUCGUGGUGGGAGACAGUGUCAGGCGGGCAGUUUGACUGGGGCGGUCGCCUCCUAAAAGGUAACGGAGGCGCUCAAAGGUUCCCUCAGAAUGGUUGGAAAUCAUUCAUAGAGUGUAAAGGCAUAAGGGAGCUUGACUGCGAGACCUACAAGUCGAGCAGGGUCGAAAGACGGACUUAGUGAUCCGGUGGUUCCGCAUGGAAGGGCCAUCGCUCAACGGAUAAAAGCUACCCCGGGGAUAACAGGCUUAUCUCCCCCAAGAGUUCACAUCGACGGGGAGGUUUGGCACCUCGAUGUCGGCUCAUCGCAUCCUGGGGCUGUAGUCGGUCCCAAGGGUUGGGCUGUUCGCCCAUUAAAGCGGUACGCGAGCUGGGUUCAGAACGUCGUGAGACAGUUCGGUCCCUAUCCGUCGUGGGCGUAGGAAAUUUGAGAGGAGCUGUCCUUAGUACGAGAGGACCGGGAUGGACAUACCUCUGGUGUACCAGUUGUCGUGCCAACGGCAUAGCUGGGUAGCUAUGUGUGGACGGGAUAAGUGCUGAAAGCAUCUAAGCAUGAAGCCCCCCUCAAGAUGAGAUUUCCCAACUUCGGUUAUAAGAUC